GCGCCUAUAGUGUAACGGUUAGCAUUUCGGGUUUCCAACCCGGAGAUCCGGUUUCAAUCACCGGUGGGCGCACCA
This 75-nucleotide transfer RNA is filed under the name Candidatus Lokiarchaeum ossiferum. RNAcentral's name for it is "tRNA-Gly". It matches the Rfam family "tRNA". Rfam says of the family: Transfer RNA (tRNA) molecules are approximately 80 nucleotides in length. Their secondary structure includes four short double-helical elements and three loops (D, anti-codon, and T loops). The record is from RNAcentral. Lineage: Archaea; Promethearchaeati; Promethearchaeota; Promethearchaeia; Promethearchaeales; Promethearchaeaceae.